This 381-nucleotide ribosomal RNA is filed under the name uncultured eukaryote. Its description in RNAcentral is "SSU rRNA". It matches the Rfam family "Eukaryotic small subunit ribosomal RNA", at positions 587 to 972 of the family's 1831-position model. The record is from RNAcentral.
AGCUCCAAUAGCGUAUAUUAAAGUUGUUGCAGUUAAAAAGCUCGUAGUUGGAUUUCUGCUGAGGACGACCGGUCCGCCCUCUGGGUGAGUAUCUGGCUCGGCCUGGGCAUCUUCUUGGAGAACGUAGCUAUACUUGACUGUAUGGUGCGGUAUUCAGGACUUUUACUUUGAGGAAAUUUGAGUGUUUCAAGCAGGCACACGCCUUGAAAACAUUAGCAUGGAAUAAUAAGAUAGGACCUUUGUUCUAUUUUGUUGGUUUCUAGAACUGAGGUAAUGAUUAAUAGGGAUAGUUGGGGGUAUUCGUAUUCAGUUGUCAGAGGUGAAAUUCUUGGAUUUUCGGAAGACGCACGACUGCGAAAGCAUUUACCAAGGAUGUUUUCA